Molecule: long non-coding RNA, 215 nt
Filed under: Gallus gallus (chicken)
Lineage: Eukaryota; Metazoa; Chordata; Aves; Galliformes; Phasianidae
Source: RNAcentral
UAGUUAGGAUGGCGUUUUCUUGCUCCACAAUUCGAGAUUCCAGUUGCUCCACUGAUUCUGGCUCUUUGUUCUGCACUGUGGCACUCAUCAUCUGUUUCUUCAUCAUGCUGUACUUAUGCAAUGCUCGCUGGUGCUUGUGCAGUACCCCCUUCUCAUGUCUUUCACACAGGUCUUUAUAGGACUGGAGUAAAUCCAGGAAAAGGUUCAGCUUCUCC